GGAGACGUGGCCGAGUCUGGCUGAAGGCGCUUGAUUCGAAAUCAAGUUUACGGGCAACCGUAACGGGGGUUCGAAUCCCUCCGUCUCCG
Molecule: transfer RNA, 89 nt
Filed under: Deltaproteobacteria bacterium
Lineage: Bacteria; Pseudomonadati; Myxococcota; Myxococcia
Also listed under: 1 other name
Description: tRNA-Ser
Rfam family: tRNA
About the family: Transfer RNA (tRNA) molecules are approximately 80 nucleotides in length. Their secondary structure includes four short double-helical elements and three loops (D, anti-codon, and T loops). Further hydrogen bonds mediate the characteristic L-shaped molecular structure. tRNAs have two regions of fundamental functional importance: the anti-codon, which is responsible for specific mRNA codon recognition, and the 3' end, to which the tRNAs corresponding amino acid is attached (by aminoacyl-tRNA synthetases). tRNAs cope with the degeneracy of the genetic code in two manners: having more than one tRNA (with a specific anti-codon) for a particular amino acid; and 'wobble' base-pairing, i.e. permitting non-standard base-pairing at the 3rd anti-codon position.
Source: RNAcentral